AGCAGCCGCGGUAAUUCCAGCUCCAAUAGCGUAUAUUAAAGUUGUUGCAGUUAAAAAGCUCGUAGUUGAAUUUCGGGACCAAUCUGCCGGUCGUGCCUCCGGUACGCACUGGUUUUAUUGGUCUCUCCCUUCUGACGAACCAUGAUGUCAUUAAUUUGGUGUCAUGGGGAAUCAGGACUGUUACUUUGAAAAAAUUAGAGUGUUUAUAGCAGGCUCACGCUUGAAUACAUUAGCAUGGAAUAAUGAAAUAGGACGUUUGACCCUAUUUUGUUGGUUUCUAGGAUCGACGUAAUGAUUAAUAGGGAUAGUUGGGGGCAUUAGUAUUCAAUUGUCAGAGGUGAAAUUCUUGGAUUUAUUGAAGACUAACUACUGCGAAAGCAUUUGCCAAGGAUGUCUUCAUUAAUCAAGAACGAAAGUUAGGGGAUCGAAGACGAUCAGAUACCGUCGUAGUCUUAACCAUAAACUAUGCCGACUAGGGAUCGGAUGAUGUUAAUUUUUUUAAUGACUCAUUCGG
This 514-nucleotide ribosomal RNA is filed under the name uncultured Glomus. RNAcentral's name for it is "SSU rRNA". It matches the Rfam family "Eukaryotic small subunit ribosomal RNA", at positions 569 to 1083 of the family's 1831-position model. Lineage: Eukaryota; Fungi; Glomeromycota; Glomeromycetes; Glomerales; Glomeraceae. The record is from RNAcentral.